Molecule: ribosomal RNA, 432 nt
Filed under: uncultured bacterium
Lineage: Bacteria
Description: partial 16S ribosomal RNA
Rfam family: Bacterial small subunit ribosomal RNA
Source: RNAcentral
AACGAACGCUGGCGGCAUGCCUAACACAUGCAAGUCGAACGAGACCUUCGGGUCUAGUGGCGCACGGGUUCGUAACGCGUGGGAACCUGCCCUUAGGUUCGGAAUAACUCCCCGAAAGGGGUGCUAAUACCGGAUAAUGUCUUCGGACCAAAGAUUUAUCGCCUUUGGAUGGGCCCGCGUUGGAUUAGCUAGUUGGUAGUGUAAAAGCCUACCAAGGCGACGAUCCAUAGCUGGUCUGAGAGGAUGAUCAGCCACACUGGGACUGAGACACGGCCCAGACUCCUACGGGAGGCAGCAGUGGGGAAUAUUGGACAAUGGGCGAAAGCCUGAUCCAGCAAUGCCGCGUGAGUGAUGAAGGCCUUAGGGUUGUAAAGCUCUUUUACCCGGGAUGAUAAGGACAGUACCGGGAGAAUAAGCUCCGGCUAACUCCGU